RNAcentral lists this ribosomal RNA (253 nucleotides) under uncultured bacterium. Its description in RNAcentral is "partial 16S ribosomal RNA". It matches the Rfam family "Bacterial small subunit ribosomal RNA", at positions 524 to 776 of the family's 1533-position model. The record is from RNAcentral.
UACGUAGGGUGCAAGCGUUGUCCGGAAUUAUUGGGCGUAAAGAGCUCGUAGGCGGUUUGUCGCGUCGAAUGUGAAAUCCCGGGGCUCAACCCCGGGCCUGCAUUCGAUACGGGCAGACUAGAGUUCGGUAGGGGAGUCUGGAAUUCCUGGUGUAGCGGUGAAAUGCGCAGAUAUCAGGAGGAACACCGGUGGCGAAGGCGGGUCUCUGGGCAAUAACUGACGCUGAGGAGCGAAAGCGUGGGGAGCGAACAGG